UCCGGUUUAUCACCGGCAGUCCCCUAUGAGUCCCCGGCCGAACCGCUGGCAACAUAGGGCAAGGGUUGCGCUCGUUGCGGGACUUAACCCAACAUCUCACGACACGAGCUGACGACAGCCAUGCAGCAUCUGUGCCACACCCUCGAAGGCGACCGGCUUUCACCGGCUUGCAGUGGCAUGUCAAACCUGGGUAAGGUUCUUCGCGUUGCGUCGAAUUAAACCACAUGCUCCACCGCUUGUGCGGGCCCCCGUCAAUUCCUUUGAGUUUCAGCCUUGCGGCCGUACUCCCCAGGCGGGGCACUUAAUGCGUUAGCGCCGGCCCUCGGGGGGUCGCUCCCCCAAGCGCCUAGUGCCCAUCGUUUACGGCGUGGACUAC
This 376-nucleotide unclassified non-coding RNA is filed under the name uncultured Gemmatimonadota bacterium. RNAcentral's name for it is "uncultured Gemmatimonadetes bacterium contains 16S-23S intergenic spacer region". The record is from RNAcentral. Lineage: Bacteria; Pseudomonadati; Gemmatimonadota.